Molecule: transfer RNA, 76 nt
Filed under: Caudoviricetes sp.
Lineage: Duplodnaviria; Heunggongvirae; Uroviricota; Caudoviricetes
Also listed under: 4 other names
Description: tRNA-Thr
Rfam family: tRNA
About the family: Transfer RNA (tRNA) molecules are approximately 80 nucleotides in length. Their secondary structure includes four short double-helical elements and three loops (D, anti-codon, and T loops).
Source: RNAcentral
GCCGCGAUAGCUCAGUUGGUAGAGCGACGCCAUGGUAAGGCGUAGGUCUCGGGUUCAAAUCCCGAUCGUGGCUCCA